GGUGAGAUAGCUCAGCGGUUAAGAGCACUGGCUGCUCAGCUAGAGAACCUGGGUUGAACUCCCAGCACCC
This 70-nucleotide transfer RNA is filed under the name Mesocricetus auratus (golden hamster). It matches the Rfam family "tRNA". Rfam says of the family: Transfer RNA (tRNA) molecules are approximately 80 nucleotides in length. Their secondary structure includes four short double-helical elements and three loops (D, anti-codon, and T loops). Further hydrogen bonds mediate the characteristic L-shaped molecular structure. tRNAs have two regions of fundamental functional importance: the anti-codon, which is responsible for specific mRNA codon recognition, and the 3' end, to which the tRNAs corresponding amino acid is attached (by aminoacyl-tRNA synthetases). tRNAs cope with the degeneracy of the genetic code in two manners: having more than one tRNA (with a specific anti-codon) for a particular amino acid; and 'wobble' base-pairing, i.e. permitting non-standard base-pairing at the 3rd anti-codon position. The record is from Rfam by way of RNAcentral. Lineage: Eukaryota; Metazoa; Chordata; Mammalia; Rodentia; Cricetidae.